AAGGAUUAACUUAAAUGACUUCCCAUUGC
Molecule: non-coding RNA, 29 nt
Filed under: Cricetulus griseus (Chinese hamster)
Lineage: Eukaryota; Metazoa; Chordata; Mammalia; Rodentia; Cricetidae
Source: RNAcentral